AGAGUUUGAUCCUGGCUCAGGAUGAACGCUGGCGGCGUGCUUAACACAUGCAAGUCGAACGAACCUUCGGGUUAGUGGCGGACGGGUGAGUAACGCGUGGGAAUCUGCCCUCAGGAGGGGGAUAACGGUUGGAAACGACCGCUAAUACCCCAUAUGCCGAGAGGUGAAAUGAAUUUCGCCUGAGGAUGAGCCCGCGUCUGAUUAGCUUGUUGGUGAGGUAAUGGCUCACCAAGGCAUCGAUCAGUAGCUGGUCUGAGAGGAUGAUCAGCCACACUGGGACUGAGACACGGCCCAGACUCCUACGGGAGGCAGCAGUGGGGAAUUUUCCGCAAUGGGCGAAAGCCUGACGGAGCAACGCCGCGUGAGGGACGAAGGCCUCUGGGCUGUAAACCUCUUUUCUCAAGGAAGAAGAUAUGACGGUACUUGAGGAAUAAGCCACGGCUAAUUCCGUGCCAGCAGCCGCGGUAAUACGGGAGUGGCAAGCGUUAUCCGGAAUUAUUGGGCGUAAAGCGUCCGCAGGCGGCCUUUCAAGUCUGCUGUUAAAACGUGGAGCUUAACUCCAUCAUGGCAGUGGAAACUGAUCGGCUUGAGUAUGGUAGGGGCAGAGGGAAUUCCCGGUGUAGCGGUGAAAUGCGUAGAUAUCGGGAAGAACACCAGUGGCGAAGGCGCUCUGCUGGGCCAUUACUGACGCUCAUGGACGAAAGCCAGGGGAGCGAAAGGGAUUAGAUACCCCUGUAGUCCUGGCCGUAAACGAUGAACACUAGGUGUCGGGGGAAUCGACCCCUUCGGUGUCGUAGCUAACGCGUUAAGUGUUCCGCCUGGGGAGUACGCACGCAAGUGUGAAACUCAAAGGAAUUGACGGGGGCCCGCACAAGCGGUGGAGUAUGUGGUUUAAUUCGAUGCAACGCGAAGAACCUUACCAGGGCUUGACAUCCUGCGAACCUCUAAGAGAUUAGAGGGUGCCUUCGGGAACGCAGUGACAGGUGGUGCAUGGCUGUCGUCAGCUCGUGUCGUGAGAUGUUGGGUUAAGUCCCGCAACGAGCGCAACCCACGUUUUUAGUUGCCAGCAUUUAGUUGGGCACUCUAGAAAGACCGCCGGUGAUAAACCGGAGGAAGGUGUGGAUGACGUCAAGUCAUCAUGCCCCUUACGUCCUGGGCUACACACGUACUACAAUGCUACGGACAAAGGGCAGCAAACUCGCGAGAGCUAGCAAAUCCCAUAAACCGUGGCUCAGUUCAGAUCGUAGGCUGCAACUCGCCUACGUGAAGUAGGAAUCGCUAGUAAUCGCAGGUCAGCAUACUGCGGUGAAUACGUUCCCGGGCCUUGUACACACCGCCCGUCACACCAUGGAAGUUGGCCACGCCCGAAGUCGUUACUUUAACCCUUGUGGAGAAGGACGCCGAAGGUGGGGCUGAUGACUGGGGUGAAGUCGUAACAAGGUAGCCGUACCGGAAGGUGCGGCUG
Molecule: ribosomal RNA, 1465 nt
Filed under: Prochlorococcus sp. AG-402-M23
Lineage: Bacteria; Bacillati; Cyanobacteriota; Cyanophyceae; Synechococcales; Prochlorococcaceae
Description: bacterial SSU rRNA
Rfam family: Bacterial small subunit ribosomal RNA
Source: RNAcentral